GCCACAACACUCGGGACCAAGAAGCUGGAGGUCUGGGAAGCUUCCCGAAGCAAGUGACAUUAAGCCUUCCAAGAAUACACUGAAGUUGUGGUAUCUUCCCAUCCAAGAGUGAGCAGGACCCCAUGUGGUGCUGGAGACAGAUGAGAAUACCUGACCAAAACCACUUACAGAUGGUAGAGUUUAUUUUACUUUGGCUCAUAUAUCAUUGGCAUGAAGUCAUGGCAUCAGGAAUGUGCGACAACUGGUUCCACUUCACCUACCAGCAAGAAGCAUAGAGAGGAGAUUACAGUUAAUAGAGUACAUGAAUCUCAGAAGAGACUUUGAACUUUAGACCUUUAAAUAAAGUUGUAGAACUCUCAGCUCCUUCUCCAGCACCAUGUCUGCCUUCACACCACUAUGUCCUGCCAUGAUGAUAAUGGACUAAAUCUCUGAAAAUAUCACCCUCAAUUCCUAAGAAUCCAGCUGGACCUUUGCUUGAAGUGUAUGAGAAAGAUUGUGGUUCCUUGGAAGAGCAGGACAUCCUGGCAUCACAGUGCUGUCUAUGAUGGAGACUUCUCAAUGUAAUGGUUAUGACAUUUUAUGCACAACAGACCUUUAUCUUUCCUGUUGCAGUUAUCUAUAGGGGGGUUGGAGUACGAUCGUUGACUGUAGGAGUAUCUGCUGUGUGGUGGGCUGUCACAAGUAUGUGAAAGACUUACUGGCACCAUGCAGAGGUUCCUGUAGAUGGAGGUUUCUGUCCCACCUGGUCUGUACAGACCUCCAGCCCUCUAUGGUUUGCUAGUUGUGAGCUCCAUUCUCUGACCGACCCCAAGACAGGCUUUGUUUAAGAAAGGUAUCACCACAGGUUCCAAUAGUAUCUGAGUAAGCAGUCAUUAUCCAAGAUGUGUCUUUUUAAAAUGCUGACUACCUCAGUCAUGGACUUGAGUGGCCUUGCUCUAUCUCAGUGUCAGUGUCUCCAGCGUCUCAGGAGUGAGCCUUAACU
Molecule: long non-coding RNA, 982 nt
Filed under: Cricetulus griseus (Chinese hamster)
Lineage: Eukaryota; Metazoa; Chordata; Mammalia; Rodentia; Cricetidae
Description: lncRNA (ENSCGRG00015043046.1)
Source: RNAcentral